UUAAGACGUCGUUGUUAAAUGCAUAGUUUGUUUUGUUUGUUUUUACGUGGCUCCUGUUUAUCGAGACAAUAUUGUUAUGACUGAGACAUGAACUUUGUUUUCGGCACAUCUCUAACUCUUUCAGCAAGUGAAUUAUUUUCUCUAGCCGUCCAGACAUUCGUGCAUUCAGCAGAAACAACAAGAAGAAGGUCCCAUUACUUUCUAUACAUUCGAUAUCUAAAGGGAAGUGGGUUAAUGGAUGAAAGACGAGAAAAGAAGCUAAUCGAAUGAAGCAUCGGUCACCAAGGAGAUACCAUUCACCCCGUCAGAGAGACGGGACAAUUAUGCGGGAUUCGCGUCAGUCGGGGCAGAUGAUUGGAUUACAAACAUGUUAUACGACAAUCCGAUGCUGAAGUGAAGACAAGAUAAAAGCUCUUGUCCUUUUUAGAUCGAGACGAUGAUCAAAAUACCAGCACGUCACUUACUCGGUUGACAUUUCUCAUUUGGGGGGUUAGAGAACGAGUGAUUGACCAUCCGUCUACGUGGUGGUUCCCAGUAGAGCAAUCAAGAAAGGAAUGGGCUGCGCUAUACCGAUGUUCAUGAUCCUGCUAUUUUUGUUUUCCUCUGGUAUCUUUUCCUACACACACUUUUUCUCGUCUUGCCCACACUUGCCCAUCUGCCAAAGCAAAAAAUAAAAUAAAAAAUGUAUAGUAGUCGAUAGACUAAAUCGGUUCGUCAACGAAAGCCUUGUCUACAUGUUUCAGUGCGACAUCUCGAAAAAAUGCGGAAACACAUUUCGCUUUUGUGCGCGCACGUCGCGUGUAUGAAUAUUUCAACCGUUUGCAUUCAAAUUCUAGUAGAGAAUUUGCUGGAUAUACUCGGGAGCAAUUCUCUAUUUUGUUUUUCCUUGAGGCGUAUCAUCCAUACUGCAAACAUUUCCCAGAAACUAUAUUGCUCUUGUUAUGAUUUUUAUGUUGUUUUUUUGUUUUGUUUUUUUCGGUAGGCUUUGUUUUGGUUUCUUAUUUUUUGUU
Long non-coding RNA from Daphnia magna, 1010 nucleotides. RefSeq lists it as uncharacterized. The transcript is spliced from 4 exons. NCBI's taxonomy places the organism in Eukaryota, Metazoa, Arthropoda, Branchiopoda, Diplostraca, Daphniidae. The record is from RefSeq and is a predicted model, not a curated record.